This 414-nucleotide ribosomal RNA is filed under the name uncultured bacterium. RNAcentral's name for it is "bacterial SSU rRNA". It matches the Rfam family "Bacterial small subunit ribosomal RNA", at positions 917 to 1333 of the family's 1533-position model. The record is from RNAcentral.
GGGCCCGCACAAGCGGUGGAGCAUGUGGUUUAAUUCGAUGAUACGCGAGGAACCUUACCAGGGCUUAAAUGUAAGUUGCAUUAGUUAGAGAUAGCUAUUUCUUCGGACUACUUACAAGGUGCUGCAUGGUUGUCGUCAGCUCGUGCCGUGAGGUGUCAGGUUAAGUCCUAUAACGAGCGCAACCCCUGUUGUUAGUUGCCAUCGAGUAAUGUUGGGUACUCUAGCGAGACUGCCGGUGCAAACCGAGAGGAAGGUGGGGAUGACGUCAAAUCAUCACGGCCCUUACGUCCUGGGCUACACACGUACUACAAUGGCAACUACAGAGGGAAGCAAGACCGCGAGGUGGAGCAAAUCCCAAAAAAGUUGCCUCAGUUCGGAUUGGAGUCUGCAACUCGACUCCAUGAAGUUGGAAUC